This 253-nucleotide ribosomal RNA is filed under the name uncultured bacterium. RNAcentral's name for it is "partial 16S ribosomal RNA". It matches the Rfam family "Bacterial small subunit ribosomal RNA", at positions 524 to 776 of the family's 1533-position model. The record is from RNAcentral.
GACAGAGGGUGCAAACGUUGUUCGGAAUUACUGGGCAUAAAGAGCACGUAGGUGGUGCGCUAAGUCACGUGUGAAAUCCCCCGGCUCAACCGGGGAAUGGCGCGUGAUACUGGCGGACUCGAGGCGGGUAGGGGUGAGCGGAACUCCAGGUGGAGCGGUGAAAUGCGUAGAUAUCAUUUGGAACGCCAAUGGUGAAAACAGGUAGCUGGGGCUGUGCUGACACUGAGACACGAAAGCCAGGGGAGCAAACGGG